UACGUAGGGUGCGAGCGUUGUCCGGAAUUAUUGGGCGUAAAGAGCUUGUAGGCGGUCUGUCGCGUCUGCUGUGAAAAUCCGGGGCUCAACCCCGGACUUGCAGUGGGUACGGGCAGACUAGAGUGUGGUAGGGGAGACUGGAAUUCCUGGUGUAGCGGUGAAAUGCGCAGAUAUCAGGAGGAACACCGAUGGCGAAGGCAGGUCUCUGGGCCGGUACUGACACUAAGGCGCGAAAGCGUGGGGAGCGAACAGG
This 253-nucleotide ribosomal RNA is filed under the name uncultured bacterium. RNAcentral's name for it is "partial 16S ribosomal RNA". It matches the Rfam family "Bacterial small subunit ribosomal RNA", at positions 524 to 776 of the family's 1533-position model. The record is from RNAcentral.